RNAcentral lists this ribosomal RNA (333 nucleotides) under uncultured Megamonas sp. RNAcentral's name for it is "bacterial SSU rRNA". It matches the Rfam family "Bacterial small subunit ribosomal RNA", at positions 568 to 898 of the family's 1533-position model. Lineage: Bacteria; Bacillati; Bacillota; Negativicutes; Selenomonadales; Selenomonadaceae. The record is from RNAcentral.
CGCGUAGGCGGGGAAUUAAGUGAGAAGUGAAAGGCUGGGGCUCAACCCCAUGCAGUGCUUCUCAUACUGGUUCUCUUGAGGGUGGUAGAGAGAAGUGGAAUGGCUGGUGUAGCGGUGAAAUGCGUAGAUAUCAGUCGGAACACCGGUGGCGAAGGCGGCUUCUUGGGCCAUUUCUGACGCUGAGGCGCGAAAGCUAGGGGAGCGAACGGGAUUAGAUACCCCGGUAGUCCUAGCCGUAAACGAUGGAUACUAGGUGUCGGGGGUAUCGACCCCUCCGGUGCCGCAGCUAACGCACUAAGUAUCCCGCCUGGGGAGUACGGCCGCAAGGUUGAA